CACACCCGUGGCAGAAAGGUAACGACUAUAUACAGUUUAGUUGUAGUGCAGGUCUACAUGCGACCUGGUAGCACUGUUCGACGAGUUCAGGGAUCGGGGAAGGAGGAAAGACAACUGGCCACAUACAGCUGGCCGCAAUAUUCAAAUAGGGCUUUCAAACGCAAGAUCAUAACGUGAAGCAACUUGGAAGAAUGGGUAUGAAUCAAGAGUACAUAACCCCCCAGAGUGUGCAACUCCCACAUACCCUGCUGUCCCGACAGAAUUUCAAGUUGACGUCAUUUUGAUGAUGCAAUGCGCACUGUACACGGAUUAUCAGACGAAUCCGGAACCUGUGGUUGACCGAAGCCGAUCGAUCCUGUACAAAUUAUUGCAAAGAAAAACGUGUGAUGCGUUGACACCCGUACACAUGUUCUAAAUCCCUGGUGCAAGGAGCGGUAUGAGCUACUACAAAAGGUGAGUGAAAUGAAGGCGUGGAAGCAGGUGAAUGUGAUAGAGUGAGGAAGUGUGAGGUGUAGGUGUAUGCGAAUGAAUACGUGUGUGAAUGCUAGGUGAAGAGUCUCAAUUUUGUGACAUUUUCUUUCUGAAUGCAUAGAUCACCUUUUGUAGUAGCUCACACCGUCGGAACACUCUCACAUCUUUUCUUCUAAUUUCUUUCGUCUUCUCUCCCACUUCUAGUUUUUUUUUCACACCUCACCUUGUAUACUUCCCACUAUCCUAUAACCUAUAAGUAGUUUGUUUCUCCGUAUAGCCUCUAUUGUGAGACGAUUUUUCCCUGAUGAUAGUCUCAAGAAAAUCGAUUAGGAACAACCAUUAUUUUUAGAUACAUGUAUUCUCAUUCAUCAUUUUAAUUGCUUUCUGCACUUUUUUUGGACAUCUUUAUGCAGUUUUCCCGAAGUGCUUUCCAUGUUCAUGUACAUGUAGGUUAUUUGCACAGUAUGACUUGUACUACUCCCAAGUAGAUCUACUGCGCAAAUAGCGUUUCUACGGAUGCAACAAAUUUUGUGAUUUGGUCCAAAUCCGCAAUUUUCUGCAAAUAAUUCCACAAAUCUCUGGCAAGUUCCACAUCUUUUCGCACUUUUCGCCGCAUAUUUUGUUGUUUUCUGCCGCAACGAAAUUUUCUGCAAAUUCCCGCAGGGACAGACAUGUACAAUCAUGUAGAUCUACAAAAUGUUUAAUGUACUUUGAAGUACAUGUAAUGACUGCAAAAGCCUCAAGCAAUGCACUCCUAGAUCCUUGCCUUCUCGGCCUCCCGCAGCCCAUGCAGCCUUCGCUGGCUCGACUAUCAUGACAAUCAUGAUUAUCAGGGCCGCCGGACCUGGUCCCGUUGGUCAGGUAAUCACCGGACCAACAUUCUAGCCACCUACACACGUUCACUACUUUGGAGGUCAUGUGUACACGCCAUUUCAUACACAACUUAGUAUGAAAGCCUGAAAGGCGCUGAAACUACCGGACCUGCUUCUUAUUCCGGCGGUCCUGAUUAUGCCUUUAUGGCCAUGGUUGGAUUUGUCAAAGUUGUGUUGGCCAUGCUCAAACAUGUGUGUUGACAUCCAAUAAUGCAUACUCUCAGUGUACCUGCCCGGCCCUAGCCCUCCUAAGUCCUGUUAGUCGCUUGGGCACUUUCAAUUUUCAAAAGUCCUGUGUACAUUUGAGUCCAACAUUUCUAGCGCUAUCCUAGCUGAUAGAGUGGGUCUCUAGGAGUGUUUUGGCACUAGGGUGCCAUCUCGGAGCUGGGGCAUAAGGGAGCGGCGAGUGGAAUACUGCGUGUCCAAUUUCCUGUACAAUUUAGAUCAUGUAACCAUGGUAACGGCGCUGACUCAUUCAAAGACUGGCAGAAUUUACGUCGUAUUGUCGACUUUCCGAGUUGCCUAUGUGACUGUAAAGUACACCAGGCACGCAGAUACAUUGAAUGUUUGAUGAUAGGAUGAUGUGGACUGUAUAGACCUCUUCAGGUUCCUGAAAUAUCAUACUAUUUUUGGUUCAAAGCUAGCUACACACUAGAGCACAAUCAGGUAUGUACAGUAGAAAGUUACUCCUGUGAUUAGUUUAUACUAUUGCAGAGUUCCAUUA
This is a long non-coding RNA of Sycon ciliatum, 2067 nucleotides long. RefSeq lists it as uncharacterized. The record is from RefSeq and is a predicted model, not a curated record. NCBI's taxonomy places the organism in Eukaryota, Metazoa, Porifera, Calcarea, Leucosolenida, Sycettidae. The transcript has 2 exons.